UCUGCAGCAUGAUUUUGCCAGCUACAGGUAG
Molecule: non-coding RNA, 31 nt
Filed under: Rattus norvegicus (Norway rat)
Lineage: Eukaryota; Metazoa; Chordata; Mammalia; Rodentia; Muridae
Source: RNAcentral